RNAcentral lists this unclassified non-coding RNA (201 nucleotides) under uncultured Ichthyosporea. RNAcentral describes it as "sequence contains ITS2". The record is from RNAcentral. Lineage: Eukaryota; Ichthyosporea.
GGAUAAAUCACAAUAAUUUUUUUGUUGUGGAGUUGAGGCGUCACAUUGGCAACAAUGGGUCCCUUUAAAUAUAGUUAGGUGAAGAGGAUUAGCGUCCUUGUAACCACUAGUGUGUCAAUUGUCCUUUGGGCAUCAUACGCUAUGUCGGUUCUUGGGCAUCAAAGCUAGUAUCUCUAAGCUUUACAUUUAUUCUUUUGAAAC